CAGCCGCCGCGGUAAUACGAAGGGGGCUAGCGUUGUUCGGAAUCACUGGGCGUAAAGGGUGCGUAGGCGGAUUUUUAAGUCAGGGGUGAAAUCCCGAGGCUCAACCUCGGAACUGCCUUUGAUACUGGGGAUCUUGAGUCCGGAAGAGGUGAGUGGAACUGCGAGUGUAGAGGUGAAAUUCGUAGAUAUUCGCAAGAACACCGGUGGCGAAGGCGGCUCACUGGUCCGGAACUGACGCUGAGGCACGACAGCGUGGGGAGCAAACAGGAUUAGAUACCCCAGUAGUCCCUGUCUCUUAUAC
This 301-nucleotide ribosomal RNA is filed under the name uncultured bacterium. Its description in RNAcentral is "partial 16S ribosomal RNA". It matches the Rfam family "Bacterial small subunit ribosomal RNA", at positions 509 to 807 of the family's 1533-position model. The record is from RNAcentral.